CGGUUGAUCCUGCCGGAGGUCACCGCUAUUGGAAUCCGCUUAAGCCAUGCGAGUCGAGAGGGUUCGGCCCUCGGCACACUGCUCAGUAACACGUGGACAAUCUGCCCUCGGGAGGGGGAUAACCUCGAGAAAUUGAGAAUAAUACCCCAUAGGGCCUGUAUGCUGGAACGCUUCAGGUCUUAAAGCUGCGGCGCCCGAGGAUGAGUCUGCGGCUCAUCAGGUUGUAGUGAGUGUAAGGGACUCACUAGCCGACAACGAGUACGGGCCUUGGAAGAGGUCGCCCGGAGAUGGACUCUGAGACACGAGUCCAGGCCCUACGGGGCGCAGCAGGCGCGAAAACUUCGCAAUGUGGGAAACCACGACGAGGGGAUUCCAAGUGCUCAUGGCUUCCAUGGCUGUUUUCCUGCCUAAAAAGCAGGGAGAGUAAGGGCUGGGUAAGACGGGUGCCAGCCGCCGCGGUAAUACCCGCAGCUCGAGUGGUGAUCGUUGUUAUUGGGCCUAAAGCGUCCGUAGCCGGCUCAGUAAAUCCUUGGGUAAAUCGGGCAGCUUAACUGUCCGAAUUCCGGGGAGACUGCUGAGCUUGGAACUGGGAGAGGUCGGAGGUACUCCGGGGGUAGAGGUGAAAUUCUGUAAUCCCCGGGGGACCACCAGUGGCGAAGGCGUCCGACUUGAACGGGUUCGACGGUGAGGGACGAAGCCCUGGGGCACAAACCGGAUUAGAUACCCGGGUAGUCCAGGGUGUAAACGCUGCGGGCUUGGUGUUGGGGGUCCUACGUGGGCGUCCAGUGCCGGAGAGAAGUUGUUAAGCCCGCCGCCUGGGGAGUACGGUCGCAAGACUGAAACUUAAAGGAAUUGGCGGGGGAGCAC
RNAcentral lists this ribosomal RNA (867 nucleotides) under uncultured archaeon. RNAcentral describes it as "bacterial SSU rRNA". It matches the Rfam family "Archaeal small subunit ribosomal RNA", at positions 5 to 879 of the family's 1478-position model. The record is from RNAcentral.